This 478-nucleotide ribosomal RNA is filed under the name uncultured bacterium. RNAcentral's name for it is "partial 16S ribosomal RNA". It matches the Rfam family "Bacterial small subunit ribosomal RNA", at positions 28 to 507 of the family's 1533-position model. The record is from RNAcentral.
GAUGAACGCUGGCGGCGUGCUUAACACAUGCAAGUCGAACGGGAAACCUUUUAUUGAAGCUUCGGCAGAUUUCGCUGGUUUCUAGUGGCGGACGGGUGAGUAACGCGUGGGUAACCUGCCCUAUACAGGGGGAUAACAACCAGAAAUGGUUGCUAAUACCGCAUAAGCGCACAGGGCCGCAUGGUCCGGUGUGAAAAACUCCGGUGGUAUAGGAUGGACCCGCGUUGGAUUAGCCAGUUGGCAGGGUAACGGCCUACCAAAGCGACGAUCCAUAGCCGGCCUGAGAGGGUGAACGGCCACAUUGGGACUGAGACACGGCCCAGACUCCUACGGGAGGCAGCAGUGGGGAAUAUUGCACAAUGGGGGAAACCCUGAUGCAGCGACGCCGCGUGAAGGGAGAAGUAUCUCGGUAUGUAAACUUCUAUCAGCAGGGAAGAUAGUGACGGUACCUGACUAAGAAGCCCCGGCUAACUACGUG